This 327-nucleotide ribosomal RNA is filed under the name uncultured eukaryote. Its description in RNAcentral is "partial 18S ribosomal RNA". It matches the Rfam family "Eukaryotic small subunit ribosomal RNA", at positions 1470 to 1796 of the family's 1831-position model. The record is from RNAcentral.
CACUUAGAUGUUCUGGGCCGCACGCGCGCUACACUGAUUCAUGCAACAAGUUUUGUCCUUGGCUGAUAGGCCUGGGUAAUCUUUGAACGUGAAUCGUGAUGGGGAUAGAUGAUUGCAAUUAUUCAUCUUCAACGAGGAAUUCCUAGUAAACGCAAGUCAUCAGCUUGCAUUGAUUACGUCCCUGCCCUUUGUACACACCGCCCGUCGCACCUACCGAUUGAAUGGUCCGGUGAAAUCUUCGGAUCUGAGAGAUGUCUGAUUAAUUUCGGACGCCUUUUGGAAAAGUUGUUUAAACCUUACCAUUUAGAGGAAGGUGAAGUCGUAACA